Molecule: ribosomal RNA, 253 nt
Filed under: uncultured bacterium
Lineage: Bacteria
Description: partial 16S ribosomal RNA
Rfam family: Bacterial small subunit ribosomal RNA
Source: RNAcentral
UACGAAGGGUGCAAGCGUUGCUCGGAAUUAUUGGGCGUAAAGGGUUGGUAGGUGGUCUUGUUUGUCUGAGGUGAAAUCCCAUGGCUUAACUGUGGAAGUGCCUCAGAAACGGCAAGACUAGAGUCCUAGAGGGGUUUGUGGAAUUCCCGGUGUAGCGGUGAAAUGCGUAGAGAUCGGGAGGAACACCAGCGGCGAAGGCGGCAAACUGGAUAGGCACUGACACUCAACAACGAAAGCGUGGGGAGCAAACAGG